AUCAGAGUUCAUUGUAUUAACCAGUUCCCUAAGGAAAGUUUCCCAUUGAAUGUCCCCAUUUAGGUUAAAGCGGAGUGUAUUUGUGUUAGAAACGUCCCCAAAAGUCAUAAGUAUAUGGCAUUCUGAUGACUAUAGUUGGAUAUGCUUUGGGAUUUUUUAAAAGAUGUAAUCAUGUUCCUUUUUUCUGUAUAAAUCUACCUAUAAAGUCAACAAACAAUUUAUCAGUGAUCACCUCACUCAAGGAAGGGUUAUUGUUGUAAAAUCCUUCAUUAUGUCUAAGAUUUGAAAAUAUGGAACAAAUACCAAUCAGAAUGAGGACUAAGAUAAAGCAAUCCAUCCCCCAAAUCAUUACACAUAUCUUAAUAUAUGCAGAUGUUUAAUAAUCAGAGUUCAUUGUAUUAACCAGUUCCCUAACGAAAGUUUCCCAUUGAAUGUCCCCAUUUAGGUUAAAGCGGAGUGUAUUUGUGUUAGAAACGUCCCCAAAAGUCAUAAGCAUAUGGCAUACUAAUGACUAUAGUUGGAUAUGCCUUGCAUUUUUUUUUUUUUUUAAUGGUAUCAUGUCCCUAUUUUCUGUAUAAAUCUAUGCAUGAAGUCGGAGGACAAUUUAUCAAUGAUUCCCACACUCAAGUAAGGGUUAUGUUGUAAAAUCCUUCAUUAUGUCUAAGAUUUGAAAAUAUGGAACAAAUACCAAUCAGAAUGAGGACUAAGAUACAGCAAUCCAUCCUCAAGAUCAUUACACAUACUUUAACACAGGGGUCCCCAAUCCCAGUCCACGAGGGCCGGUGUCCCUGCAGGUUUUAGAUGUGUCCUUGAUCCAUCACAGCUGAUUUAAAUGGAUAAAUUACCUUCUCAACAUGUCUUGAAUUGUGAUUCAGGUGUGUUGACCCAGGGUGAGAUCUAAAACCUGCAGGGACCCAUGCUUUAACAUGAGCAAAUAUUUAAUAAUCAGAGUUCAUUGUGUUUACCAGUUCCCUAAGGAAAGUUUCCCAUUGAAUGUCCCCAUUUAGGUUAAAGCGGAGUGUAUUUGUGUUAACAACGUCCCCAAAAGUCAUAAGUAUAUGGCAU
Long non-coding RNA from Astatotilapia calliptera (eastern happy), 1065 nucleotides. NCBI's taxonomy places the organism in Eukaryota, Metazoa, Chordata, Actinopteri, Cichliformes, Cichlidae. The record is from Ensembl.